CUCAGUUCGGAUCGAAGUCUGCAACCCGACUUCGUGAAGCUGGAUUCGCUAGUAAUCGCGCAUCAGCCAUGGCGCGGUGAAUACGUUCCCGGGCCUUGUACACACCGCCCGUCAAGCCAUGAAAGCCGGGGGUACCUGAAGUACGUAACCGCAAGGAUCGUCCUAGGGUAAAACUGGUAAUUGGGGCUAAGUCGUAACAAGGUAAC
Molecule: ribosomal RNA, 206 nt
Filed under: uncultured bacterium
Lineage: Bacteria
Description: partial 16S ribosomal RNA
Rfam family: Bacterial small subunit ribosomal RNA
Source: RNAcentral